RNAcentral lists this ribosomal RNA (497 nucleotides) under uncultured bacterium. Its description in RNAcentral is "partial 16S ribosomal RNA". It matches the Rfam family "Bacterial small subunit ribosomal RNA", at positions 28 to 507 of the family's 1533-position model. The record is from RNAcentral.
GAUGAACGCUGGCGGCGUGCCUAAUACAUGCAAGUCGAGCGAACAGACGAGGAGCUUGCUCCUCUGACGUUAGCGGCGGACGGGUGAGUAACACGUGGAUAACCUACCUAUAAGACUGGGAUAACUUCGGGAAACCGGAGCUAAUACCGGAUAAUAUAUUGAACCGCAUGGUUCAAUAGUGAAAGACGGUUUUGCUGUCACUUAUAGAUGGAUCCGCGCCGCAUUAGCUAGUUGGUAAGGUAACGGCUUACCAAGGCAACGAUGCGUAGCCGACCUGAGAGGGUGAUCGGCCACACUAGAACUGAGACACGGUCCAGACUCCUACGGGAGGCAGCAGUAGGGAAUCUUCCGCAAAGGGCGAAAGCCUGACGGAGCAACGCCGCGUGAGUGAUGAAGGUCUUCGGUUCGUAAAACUCUGUUAUUAGGGAAGAACAAAUGUGUAAGUAACUAUGCACGUCUUGACGGUACCUAAUCAGAAAGCCACGGCUAACUACGUG